AAUACUUGUUAAAAUCAUAGCAACAAAUCUUGUUAGAUAUACAAGGCAUUGGUUUAGUUAUUAUUUAGUUAAAUAGAUGUGAAGUGAUUAACGUACAUAUUUCAAAGAUGGAAACAGAUUUUCUUUUCGAGAAUCACAAAAAAGGGAAUAAUCAAAAGGGCAAAGCGAAACUAAUACACAUUUACAUCAACACUGAAACUACAAACCCUGAAGCUGGUUUUUAGAAUCUGAAAUUUGUGCACUGCUUUUAUUCAGUAUUGAACUAAUCCACCAAUGCUACUACCUUUGGAGGCAAAUCCUGCAGCCAUGAAUAAAGCAUAGGACUCCUUCAAGUUGAACCGGGAACCCUUCUUAACCUUAUUAGAAGAGAUCUUCCUCUUCACAGCACUUUUAGCCACCUGCAAACGUCCUCUCACCGGUGUCCGUUUCUCCUCAGACGUCUCUGCCGGCUCCGGCUCUUCUUUGAUGGUUGCUAGCUUUGUCUUGAGUAUUUCUUCUAUGUCCUUCCUGGACUCAGUUCGCAAGAUUGUCCUGCUUGUGCAAGGCACCGCACGCCACAUUCUGCGAUAGGCUCUCCUCAUUUUUGCCUCGAGGGAAAAAACAUUGAGAAGGCAACUAACCAUAUAUAUCUUGUGAACUUUGUGUAAUCAGAUACCUUCCUGAAAUGAUGAGUAUGAAGCAGUCUAGUGCUUCUUUUUGUAUACUGAGGAAGAGGGUUAAGGAAUAAAAGGUAGGCACACAGAGUUG
This 747-nucleotide unclassified non-coding RNA is filed under the name Hevea brasiliensis (rubber tree). Lineage: Eukaryota; Viridiplantae; Streptophyta; Magnoliopsida; Malpighiales; Euphorbiaceae. The record is from RNAcentral.